GUCCACGCUGUAAACGAUGACGACUAGGUGUGGGGUUCGAGUCCCCUCCGUGCCGCAGCUAACGCAUUAAGUCGUCCGCCUGGGGAGUACGGCCGCAAGGUUGAAACUCAAAGGAAUUGACGGGGCCCGCACAAGCGGUGGAGCAUGUGGUUCAAUUCGAUGCAGAGCGAAGAACCUUACCUGGGCUUGACAUGCAGAGAGUAGAAACCGGAAACGGGGACGACCUGUUAAGUCAGGAAUCUGCACAGGUGGUGCAUGGCUGUCGU
RNAcentral lists this ribosomal RNA (266 nucleotides) under uncultured bacterium. RNAcentral's name for it is "partial 16S ribosomal RNA". It matches the Rfam family "Bacterial small subunit ribosomal RNA", at positions 793 to 1055 of the family's 1533-position model. The record is from RNAcentral.